This 589-nucleotide ribosomal RNA is filed under the name uncultured Bacteroidota bacterium. Its description in RNAcentral is "bacterial SSU rRNA". It matches the Rfam family "Bacterial small subunit ribosomal RNA", at positions 224 to 810 of the family's 1533-position model. Lineage: Bacteria; Pseudomonadati; Bacteroidota. The record is from RNAcentral.
GAUGAGCAUGCGUCCCAUUAGCUAGAUGGUAAGGUAACGGCUUACCAUGGCAACGAUGGGUAGGGGUCCUGAGAGGGAGAUCCCCCACACUGGUACUGAGACACGGACCAGACUCCUACGGGAGGCAGCAGUGAGGAAUAUUGGUCAAUGGGCGCAAGCCUGAACCAGCCAUGCCGCGUGCAGGAUGAAGCAUCUAUGGUGUGUAAACUGCUUUUGUACGAGAAGAAACACUCCUUCGUGAAGGAGCUUGACGGUAUCGUAAGAAUAAGGACCGGCUAACUCCGUGCCAGCAGCCGCGGUAAUACGGAGGGUCCAAGCGUUAUCCGGAAUCAUUGGGUUUAAAGGGUCCGUAGGCGGUUUUGUAAGUCAGUGGUGAAAGCCCAUCGCUCAACGGUGGAACGGCCAUUGAUACUGCAAGACUUGAAUUAUUGGGAAGCAACUAGAAUAUGCAGUGUAGCGGUGAAAUGCUUAGAGAUUACAUGGAAUACCAAUUGCGAAGGCAGGUUGCUACCAAUAUAUUGACGCUGAUGGACGAAAGCGUGGGGAGCGAACAGGAUUAGAUACCCUGGUAGUCCACGCCGUAAACGAU